GAUGAAGAACGUAGCGAAAUGCGAUAAGUAGUGUGAAUUGCAGAAUUCAGUGAAUCAUCGAAUCUUUGAACGCACAUUGCGCCCCUUGGUAUUCCAUGGGGCAUGCCUGUUCGAGCGUCAUUUGUACCUUCAAGCUUUGCUUGGUGUUGGGUGUUUGUCCUGAGGGACUCGCCUUAAAGUAAUUGGCAGCCAGUGUUUGGUUUUGAAGCGCAGCACAAGUCGCGAUUCAAGGCUAUACACCAGCUUCCACAAGCCUUUUUCACUUUUGAUCUCGGAUCAGGUAGGGAUACCCGCUGAACUUAAGCAUAUCAAUAAGCGGAGGA
Molecule: unclassified non-coding RNA, 323 nt
Filed under: soil metagenome
Description: partial contains 5.8S ribosomal RNA, internal transcribed spacer 2, and large subunit ribosomal RNA
Rfam family: 5.8S ribosomal RNA (bases 1-120)
Source: RNAcentral